This 2714-nucleotide ribosomal RNA is filed under the name Synechococcales cyanobacterium CNB. RNAcentral describes it as "23S ribosomal RNA". It matches the Rfam family "Bacterial large subunit ribosomal RNA". The record is from RNAcentral. Lineage: Bacteria; Bacillati; Cyanobacteriota; Cyanophyceae; Synechococcales.
GACAAAGCUACGAAGGGCACACGGUGGAUGUCUUGGCGUUGAGAGGCGAUGAAGGACGUGGGAACCUGCGAAAAGCCCAGAGGAGCUGGUAACCGAGCGUCGAUCCUGGGAUGUCCGAAUGGGGAAACCCGGCCCUUCGGGGCCACCGCCCGCUGAAUGCAUAGGCGUGCGGAGCGAACCCGGGGAACUGAAACAUCUCAGUACCCGGAGGAAAGGAAAGCAACAGCGACUCCGUGAGUAGCGGCGAGCGAAAGCGGAUGCGUACGCGGAAGAGCGAACGCGUUGGAAUGCGCGGCCUGAGAAGGUGAAAGCCCUGUACCCGGAAGCGUGCGUAAGCCCUUGAGUAGGUUCGGUGCCGUGGAACCCGGACUGAACACGGGGGGUCCACCCCCCAAGGCUAAGUACUCCUCAACGACCGAUAGUGGAUCAGUAAGGCGACUGAACGAUGACAAGCACCGCGAUGAGCGGGGUGAAAGAGUACCUGAAACCGUGUGCCUACAAGCGGUCGGAGCCUCCCGAAAGGGGGGUGACGGCGUGCUUUUUGCAUAAUGAGCCCGCGAGUUAGUCUGUGCGGCGAGCCUAAGGCCCAUCGGGCCGGAGGCGGAGCGAAAGCGAGUCUGAACAGGGCGUUCAGUCGCACGGGCUAGACGCGAAACCUAGUGAUCUCGUUGUCGUUGAAAAGACAUGGGAUGAGCUGUGGGGAGGACUUAAAGUGUAAUCAAACUGGGAGAUAGCUCGUUCUCUCCGAAAUAACUUUAGGGUUAGCCUCGGGAGCGCAACCGACGGGGGUAGAGCGACUGGAUGAGCGUUGGGGGCCACAAGCCUACCGCGCUCAACCAAACUCCGAAUACCGUCGGCCAAGACCCGGGAGAUAGACGGCGAGUGACAAUAUCCGUCGUCAAAAGGAGAACAAUCCAGACCGCCGGCUAAGGCCCCGAAUCUCCGCUGAGUUCGUAAGGAAGUCAGAUUGCCGUGACAGCCAGGAUGUUGGCUUAGAAGCAGCCACCAUUUCAAGAGUGCGUAAUAGCUCACUGGCCGAGGAGUCUGGCGCCGAAAAUGAUCGGGAAUAAGCGGGGAGCCGAAGCCGCGGACGCGCAAGCGUGGUAGGAGAGCGUUCCUCUCGGCGGUGAAGCGGUCCGGGAACGGUCCGUGGAGCGUGAGGAAGUGCAUAUGCGGGCUUGAGUAACGAUAAAGCGGGUGAGAAUCCCGCUCGCCGUAAGCCCAAGGGUUCCUGGGGAAGGUACAUCCGCCCAGGGUGAGGCGGGACCUAAGGCGAGGCCGAAAGGCGUAGUCGAUGGACAGCCGGUGAAUAUUCCGGCCCCCUCGCGGAGAUCGAAGCGCGGUGCAGAUUCCUCAGCUCGGGUGGGCGACCAGUUGUGCCCAGGCCCUUGUGGCCGUUCCCGGGGGCGGGAGUCUCCAGAAAAGCCGCGCGGGCGAAGCGAGGCCCGUACCAAAACUGACACAGGUGGGCGAGGCGAAUAGCCUCAGGCGCUCGAGAGAACGGUCGUGAAGGAACUAGGCAAAUUAACCCCGUACGUUCGCAAGAAGGGGGCCCUUCGGGGCGCAGAGAAAAGGCUCUGGGAACUGUUUAUCAAAAACACAGCUCUGUGCCAACUCGCAAGAGGAUGUAUACAGAGUGACGCUUGCCCGGUACCGGAAUGUCACGGGAGCGGGUCAGCUUCGGCGAAGCUCGCGACUUAAGCACCGGUAAACGGCGGCCGUAACUAUGACGGUCCUAAGGUAGCGAAGUUCCUUGUCGGGUAAGUUCCGACGCGCAUGAAUAGCGUAAUCACUGGAGCACUGUCUCCACGACCGACUCGGUGAAAUAGUAGUGGCGGUGAAGAUGCCGCCUACCCGCAGCAAGACGGAAAGACCCCGUGGACCUUUACUGCAGGCUCGCAUUGGUCACGAGCAUGUUCUGCGUAGGAUAGGUGGGAGGCUUCGAAGCCCGGGUUUCGGCCCGGGUGGAGCCAACGGUGAAAUACCACCCUGAAUACGUUUGUGGCCUAACCCCGAAUCCCGUGAAUCCGGGCGGGGGACCGUGCGUGUCGGGCAGUUUGACUGGGGCGGUCUCCUCCAAAAAGGUAACGGAGGAGCGCAAAGGUCGGCUCAGCGCGGAUGGAAACCGCGUUUCAGAGUGCAAGAGCACAAGCCGGCUCUACUGCGAGGCCGACGGGCCGAGCAGUCACGAAAGUGGGCUCUAGUGAUCCUGCGAUCCCGUGUGGAAGGGUCGUAGCUCAUCGGAUAAAAGGUACCCCGGGGAUAACAGGCUGAUCGCACCCGAGCGUCCAUAGCGGCGGUGCGGUUUGGCACCUCGAUGUCGGCUCAUCGCAUCCUGGGGCUGAAGGUGGUCCCAAGGGUUCGGCUGUUCGCCGAUUAAAGCGGUACGCGAGCUGGGUUCAGACCGGCGUGAGCCAGGUCGGUCCCUAUCUGCUGUGGGCGUUCCAGGCUUGAGAGGAGUCAACCCUAGUACGAGAGGACUGGGUUGGACCGACCCCUGGUGAUCCUGUUGCGGCGCUCGCCGCACCGCAGGGUAGCUACGUCGGGCAGGGAUAACCGCUGAAAGCAUCUAAGCGGGAAGCCCCCCUCGAGAUGAGGCCUGGUGGUCGAAAGACGGAAGACCCCUCGGAGACCACGAGGUUGAUAGGCCGCGCGUGCACGGGCUGAAAGGCCCUCAGCGGAGCGGUACUAACGGUCGAAGGCUUUGUCGCACC